RNAcentral lists this long non-coding RNA (394 nucleotides) under Brassica rapa (field mustard). Its description in RNAcentral is "long non-coding RNA (BRAP_LNC003343)". Lineage: Eukaryota; Viridiplantae; Streptophyta; Magnoliopsida; Brassicales; Brassicaceae. The record is from RNAcentral.
AAAGAUCAUAUCCGAAGCUCUCUCCUGCGCACAAGGUAGCAUUUGUUGCGUUAGUUCUGUUCAGAGAGAUAUUGAAGUUCUUGUUAUUAUUCCUUUCAGCAGUUUGUGAUCUUUGUUGCAUUAGACUUUAUAGUGUUGUAACUCAUAAUUACUUGGCAGGCUUUUGAUCCCCCAAUAGAUUUGAGUUAGGAUUUUGAUGGUUGUGAAGACUCAAAUCCUGAAUGUACUCCAAACGAGAAAUGCAUCAAGACACUGAAACUAUAUCCUUUUUUAUGUAGAAUCUUUAAUUUAUUUGUAUAACUGCAGGAGUGAACUAUGAUUGUGAUGGGAGCCACUUAAAUCACGGCCAUGGCAGUUUUAUGUCAAUUUAUAUACUUUAAAGCCUCAGUUCCUU